CAACACGUCGCACCCAACACGUUGAUGCACAAGUAAAAUUGUGCUUUGCUUGUAAGGGCGGAGAUUGGCCUCCCGUACACUAUUAGUGUGUGGUUGGCCUAAAUGUGGAGAUUGCGGCUGUGAGUGCCACAGCGUUAGGUGGUUGGUUGCCUUAGGUUAAAUGCCUUAGGCAAGGAUCACGCCGUGCGCCUUACUAUGCUUGUGAUUCUCGUAGGGCCUUAAAUAAGUCGUGCAUAUCACACGACUUAACCUAU
This 254-nucleotide unclassified non-coding RNA is filed under the name Myricaria germanica. RNAcentral describes it as "ITS2". The record is from RNAcentral. Lineage: Eukaryota; Viridiplantae; Streptophyta; Magnoliopsida; Caryophyllales; Tamaricaceae.